GAUGAACGCUGGCGGCGUGCCUAAUACAUGCAAGUCGAGCGAACAGAUGAGGAGCUUGCUCCUCUGACGUUAGCGGCGGACGGGUGAGUAACACGUGGAUAACCUACCUAUAAGACUGGGAUAACUUCGGGAAACCGGAGCUAAUACCGGAUAAUAUAUUGAACCGCAUGGUUCAAUAGUGAAAGACGGUUUUGCUGUCACUUAUAGAUGGAUCCGCGCCGCAUUAGCUAGUUGGUAAGGUAACGGCUUACCAAGGCAACGAUGCGUAGCCGACCUGAGAGGGUGAUCGGCCACACGGGAACUGAGACACGGUCCAGACGCCUACGGGAGGCAGCAGUAGGGAAUCGUCCGCAAAGGGCGAAAGCCUGACGGAGCAACGCCGCGUGAGUGAUGAAGGUCUUCGGAUCGUAAAACUCUGUUAUUAGGGAAGAACAAAUGUGUAAGUAACUAUGCACGUCUUGACGGUACCUAAUCAGAAAGCCACGGCUAACUACGUG
RNAcentral lists this ribosomal RNA (497 nucleotides) under uncultured bacterium. RNAcentral's name for it is "partial 16S ribosomal RNA". It matches the Rfam family "Bacterial small subunit ribosomal RNA", at positions 28 to 507 of the family's 1533-position model. The record is from RNAcentral.